Molecule: small RNA, 582 nt
Filed under: Pan troglodytes (chimpanzee)
Lineage: Eukaryota; Metazoa; Chordata; Mammalia; Primates; Hominidae
Description: processed transcript
Source: RNAcentral
GUGUGUGCGUGCGCGGCCGCCCUGCCUCUGCCCGCUCCCCGGGCGCGGAGCCGCGGGUUUCAUGGGGCGAUUGCAGCGAUUCCCCCACCCAGCGCGACCUGCGGGCAGCGGCGGCAGUGGCAGGAGCCGCCUUUCCGAUUCCCUACGAUGCGGGUGCUGAGCUAUGGCAAAGGGCAGCGAAGUGACGAGCGAGACCCGCGUACGACUGUGAAAGCCACCUGGAGCCACCUUGCCGGGAUUGUACCUGCAGGCAGAAAGUCUUCCUACGACCGUCUUUUCCCCUAGAGGCACCAGAUUUGAUAUUUUCAAAGUGACAGAGAAAGUAAAAGAAUCCCAGAUAAAGAAAAGCUGAAGUAGUUAUUACCACUAGACCUGCCUUAAAAUAAAUGUUAAGGAGAGUUCUGCAGAUCGAAAUAAGAAGACAUCAAACAGUAGGUCUCAAUCAGUAAGAAGAAAUAAAGAUCUCAGUAAAGAAUCCCUGUAACCAUUCAUCCAGGUGUUGAGAAGAUAUGUAGCAGCCGAGCACCCAUCUUUUGACACCGUCCUCUGAAAUCAGCUUUGGAGAUGCUUUCACUCUGUCCG